UACAGGGGGUGCGAGCGUUGUUCGGAAUUACUGGGCGUAAAGCGCGUGUAGGCGGUCCACUAAGUCAGAUGUGAAAUCCUGGGGCUUAACUCCAGAAGUGCAUUUGAAACUAUUGGGCUAGAGUGACGUAGAGGAUGGCGGGAUACCCAGUGUAGAGGUGAAAUGCGUAGAGAUUGGGUAGAACACCGGUGGCGAAGGCGGCCAUCUGGGCAUUAACUGACGCUGAGACGCGAAAGCGUGGGGAGCAAACAGG
Molecule: ribosomal RNA, 253 nt
Filed under: uncultured bacterium
Lineage: Bacteria
Description: partial 16S ribosomal RNA
Rfam family: Bacterial small subunit ribosomal RNA
Source: RNAcentral